This is an RNA transcript of Balaenoptera acutorostrata (minke whale), 934 nucleotides long. It is a transcript of the gene named mitochondrial assembly of ribosomal large subunit 1, with no coding region annotated. NCBI's taxonomy places the organism in Eukaryota, Metazoa, Chordata, Mammalia, Artiodactyla, Balaenopteridae. The record is from RefSeq and is a predicted model, not a curated record. The transcript is spliced from 5 exons.
CGUGAGUCGACGCGUGGCGACGGCGAUGGGGCCGUGGGGUUGCGUGGCGCUGCGGCUCGGGGCGCUGCUAUGGCGCCGGGCUUUCUCCCCGGGAGCGUGGCCCGCGGCGGCCGCGGGGCUCCGGCUUCGGCUGCUGUCCGUGGGGCGGCUUCCGGUGGGACCGACGCUCGGCAGGGUCUGCCCGGCCCACGACCGAGCGCGCGGCCUGCACGGCGGGCCGGGCCUGGAGGAGCGGGCUGAGGGAACCGCCGGCGAGGGGCGCCCGGAGUCAGGCACCGCAGAUCAUACUGGUCCCAAGUUUGACAUCGAUAUGCUGGUUUCACUUCUGAGGCAAGAAAAUGCAAGAGACAUUUGUGUCAUCAAGGUUCCUCCAGAAAUGGAAUAUACAGAUUACUUUGUAAUUGGUAGUGGAACUUCCACUCGACACUUACAUGCCAUGGCCUACUACAUUGUGAAAAUGUACAAAUAUCUGAAAUGUAAAAGUGAGCCUCAUGUUAAGAUCGAAGGGAAGGACACUGAUGACUGGCUCUGUGUGGACUUUGUUGUCAUACAGGUCAGAAAGCUGGUGGAGAACAGGAUGGAUAACAUGGGAGAGAUCCCCUAGUGGUGGUGGAAGGCACCUUGGGGUACACAUAACCUUGGCCGUAAAUAACUCAGGCUGUGCAGAAAUGUGAUGAUACCCUUGGAGGACUGUCUCCCAAGCGAAACCCAUCACAAGUAAUGUUACAAAUUGAUAUCAUAUACCUCCUGUAUGAUGCACUGAGAAAAGCACAGCAUCACUUCUGUGGUAUUUUUGCUGGAUGGUGUCCACAAUUUGCAUUUCUAACAAGUUCUCAGGUAAUGCUAAUCUGGGGUUCACACUUUGAGAACCACUGUUCUUACUGUCACAGAGGUUUAUGAGAUCACAAGGGUAAAGGCAAAUGAACUGCUUCUU